AACGAACGCUGGCGGCAGGCUUAACACAUGCAAGUCGAACGCCCCGCAAGGGGAGUGGCAGACGGGUGAGUAACGCGUGGGAAUCUACCCAAUUCUUCGGAACAACUGAGGGAAACUUCAGCUAAUACCGGAUGUGCCCUUCGGGGGAAAGAUUAUCGGAAUUGGAUGAGCCCGCGUUGGAUUAGCUAGUUGGUGGGGUA
RNAcentral lists this ribosomal RNA (200 nucleotides) under uncultured bacterium. Its description in RNAcentral is "partial 16S ribosomal RNA". It matches the Rfam family "Bacterial small subunit ribosomal RNA", at positions 29 to 259 of the family's 1533-position model. The record is from RNAcentral.